GAAAAGGUGCUUGAGAAAAAGAAUACACUGAUACCGUAAUUAUGCGACUUGUCGCUCUUUUCG
Molecule: transfer RNA, 63 nt
Filed under: Spongiocaris panglao
Lineage: Eukaryota; Metazoa; Arthropoda; Malacostraca; Decapoda; Spongicolidae
Description: tRNA-Ile
Source: RNAcentral